RNAcentral lists this ribosomal RNA (570 nucleotides) under Anthostomella ravennica. Its description in RNAcentral is "eukaryotic LSU rRNA". The stretch from base 212 to 365 matches the Rfam family "5.8S ribosomal RNA". Lineage: Eukaryota; Fungi; Ascomycota; Sordariomycetes; Xylariales; Xylariaceae. The record is from RNAcentral.
UUUACACACCCUACAACCCCUGUGAACGUACCUCUUGUUGCCUCCGCGGUGCAGCAGGCGGGAUCUGGUGCUACCCGGUAGUGGGCUACCCUGUGACGAGUGAGUUACCCGGUAGACCGCUACCCUGUAGUGCCGGGUGCCCCUCUCCCGCGAAAGGCCCUCACGAACUCUGUCAUGACCUGCAAUUCUGAAUCAAAAACAAAUAAGUUAAAACUUUCAACAACGGAUCUCUUGGUUCUGGCAUCGAUGAAGAACGCAGCGAAAUGCGAUAAGUAAUGUGAAUUGCAGAAUUCAGUGAAUCAUCGAAUCUUUGAACGCACAUUGCGCCCAUUAGUAUUCUAGUGGGCAUGCCUGUUCGAGCGUCAUUUCAACCCUUAAGCCCUGUUGCUUAGCGUUGGGAGCCUGCUGGCCUCGUGCCGGCAGCUCCUCAAAGUUAGUGGCGGAGUCGGUACACACUCUAGGCGUAGUAAUUGCUCUCUCGCCUCUGCAGCAGUGCCGGCCCCUGCCGUAAAACACCCCAAUUUUUUAAUGGUUGACCUCGGAUCAGGUAGGAAUACCCGCUGAACUUAA